RNAcentral lists this long non-coding RNA (871 nucleotides) under Arabidopsis lyrata. RNAcentral's name for it is "long non-coding RNA (ALYR_LNC000491)". The record is from RNAcentral. Lineage: Eukaryota; Viridiplantae; Streptophyta; Magnoliopsida; Brassicales; Brassicaceae.
CUUCUCGGAAGGUCACCUAUCCUGAAACUACUGCAGCCCAAGCACGCUUAACUGUAGAAUUCUCUCGUGAUGGCUGACCGAAAAGAUAAGUGCACUUUGGUGACAUAGGUGGUCAAAUUAAUUUUUUUAAACCUCUCCGCAUGCACCACCAAACUGUAUCAUUAAGGUAAGUUUAACAAAGUCAUUUAGCUACUUUGGAGUAUUGUAUUUAUUAAAUAAUAAUUACAAAAAGUAUUAAACAGUUUCAUUGUUUUUAAUUUGUUUAAGAAUGAAACUGCUACAUUUAAUACAAAAUAUUCAUAUCCUGAAAACUGUUCCGCUUCUACUAUGUAGAUGCAUGGGACACAUGAAUGCUAAUGGUAGUAUUAAAUGAAACUUUACAAUCAUCUAUUAGCAAAAAUGUCACACAAAUCCAACCUUUGUUAUCGUUGAAAAGUCUAAUAUGGCGAGAACUCUACCUUUGUUAGACCAACCGUUCAUAUUGAUCUUCCCUAAAUUUAUAAGCGUUUAUUUCGGUAAAACGUUGAGAAAAUGCAAGCCAUCUUUGUUUCCUUAAUUUUAGACUUGUAUCAAAAUACCAAUCCUGGAUAUCUUUGUUAAGACUAAACAUAAACCAUCAAACUUUUGUGUUGGAUACCAGGUAUAUACGGGCUGGUAAUCCUGGAUACAUGGUACUUACUUCAUCCACUUAAAACUGUGAGUUGAUAGAGCUUUGAAAAAGAUCAAAGGGUAUGAAAAAUCUGUAAUUAGACUGGAAGAAAUCCUUUGAAUUCUCAAGAUCUGGAAGAAAUACGUACCAUCAAUAUCCACUUCUUGAAUACAGCCGUAACUGUCAUUCCAUUAUCUUCAACAUCAAUGAGUUCCUGAAAAU